GAUGAAGAACGCAGCGAAAUGCGAUAAGUAAUGUGAAUUGCAGAAUUCAGUGAAUCAUCGAAUCUUUGAACGCACAUUGCGCCCCUUGGUAUUCCGAGGGGCAUGCCUGUUCGAGCGUCAUUAUAACCCUCAAGCUCAGCUUGGUGUUGGGGCCUGCUGCACUGGCAGCCCUUAAAAUCAGUGGCGGCGCCAUCUGGCUCUAAGCAUAGUAAUUCUUCUCGCUAUGGAGUCCUGGUGGAUGCUUGCCAUCAACCCCCAAUUUUUCUAUGGUUGACCUCGGAUCAGGUAGGGAUACCCGCUGAACUUAAGCAUAUCAAUAAGCGAGGA
Molecule: unclassified non-coding RNA, 327 nt
Filed under: soil metagenome
Description: partial contains 5.8S ribosomal RNA, internal transcribed spacer 2, and large subunit ribosomal RNA
Rfam family: 5.8S ribosomal RNA (bases 1-120)
Source: RNAcentral